This 200-nucleotide ribosomal RNA is filed under the name uncultured bacterium. RNAcentral's name for it is "partial 16S ribosomal RNA". It matches the Rfam family "Bacterial small subunit ribosomal RNA", at positions 8 to 206 of the family's 1533-position model. The record is from RNAcentral.
AGAGUUUGAUCAUGGCUCAGAAUCAACGCUGGCGGCGUGCCUAAUACAUGCAAGUCGUACGCGAAGACCCCGCAAGGGGUUUGUAGCGUGGCAAACGGGUGAGUAACGCGUGGGCGACCUGCCUUCGAGUGGGGGAUAACCUUCCGAAAGGAGGGCUAAUACCGCAUGACAUGCUCUGUUUGGAUACAGGGACAUCAAAG